ACCCAGUCUAAUCUGUCUAAUCUGUGUUAGUAGACAGGUACCCAGUCUAAUCUGUCUAAUCUGUGUUAGUAGACAGGUACCCAGUCUAAUCUGUCUAAUCUGUGUUAGUAGACAGGUACCCAGUCUAAUCUGUGUUAGUAGACAGGUACCCAGUCUAAUCUGUGUUAGUAGACAGGUACCCAGUCUAAUCUGUGUUAGUAGACAGGUACCCAGUCUAAUCUGUCUAAUCUGUGUUAGUAGACAGGUACCCAGUCUAAUCUGUGUUAGUAGACAGGUACCCAGUCUAAUCUGUCACAACGUUGACAGUCAUGCGACCCUCUCCUGUAGUGGUUGUGGCUGUUCCCCCUGUAUCAGGCACCUCAUCAGCAGCCUGCAC
Long non-coding RNA from Oncorhynchus keta (chum salmon), 376 nucleotides. RefSeq lists it as uncharacterized. The transcript is spliced from 4 exons. The record is from RefSeq and is a predicted model, not a curated record. Lineage: Eukaryota; Metazoa; Chordata; Actinopteri; Salmoniformes; Salmonidae.